GAUGAAGAACGUAGUGAAAUGCGAUACUUGGUGUGAAUUGCAGAAUCCCGUGAACCAUCGAGUCUUUGAACGCAAGUUGCGCCCGAAGCCAUUAGGCCGAGGGCACGCCUGCCUGGGCGUCACACGUCGUUGCCCCCCCAUCUACUCCUUCGGGAUUGCGGGGGGCGGAUGAUGGCCUCCCGUGCGCCUCGUCGCGCGGUUGGCAUAAAUGCCAAGUCCUCGGCGACGCACGCCACGACAAUCGGUGGUUGCGAAACCUCGGUUGCCCGUCGUGUGCGGUCGUCGCGCAUCGAGGGCUCGAAAAAAUUGCCGAGUUCCGGCUCGGCUUUCAACGCGACCCCAGGUCAGGCGGGGUUACCCGCUGAAUUUAAGCAUAUCAAUAAGCGGAGGA
This 391-nucleotide unclassified non-coding RNA is filed under the name soil metagenome. RNAcentral's name for it is "partial contains 5.8S ribosomal RNA, internal transcribed spacer 2, and large subunit ribosomal RNA". The stretch from base 1 to 122 matches the Rfam family "5.8S ribosomal RNA", at positions 35 to 154 of the family's 154-position model. The record is from RNAcentral.